AUGGCGAAGAAGGCCGCAAAGCGAGCUGUUGGUGAAGCAAGGGGUCGGGCAUAUGAGGACCUCUACCAACGGUUAGACACGAAGGAAGGUGAAAGGGACAUCUAUAAGAUGGCCAAGAUCCGAGAGAGGAAGACGAGGGAUAUUGGCCAAGUCAAAUGCAUCAAGGACGGAGCAGCCCAACUCUUGGUGAAGGACGAGGAGAUUAAGCAUAGAUGGCGGGAGUACUUCGACAAGCUGUUCAAUGGGGAGAAUGAGAGUUCUACCAUUGAACUGGACGACUCCUUUGAUGAGACCAGCAUGCGUUUUGUGCGGCGAAUCCAGGAGUCUGAAGUCAAGGAGGCUUUAAAAAGGAUGAAAGGAGGCAAGGCGAUGGGCCCUGAUUGUAUCCCCAUUGAGGUGUGA
Molecule: ribosomal RNA, 402 nt
Filed under: Triticum aestivum (bread wheat)
Lineage: Eukaryota; Viridiplantae; Streptophyta; Magnoliopsida; Poales; Poaceae
Description: partial small subunit ribosomal RNA
Source: RNAcentral